RNAcentral lists this long non-coding RNA (4934 nucleotides) under Mytilus galloprovincialis (Mediterranean mussel). The record is from RNAcentral. Lineage: Eukaryota; Metazoa; Mollusca; Bivalvia; Mytilida; Mytilidae.
CAGUGGUAAAGUUAAAUUGUUCUGGUGAAGCAAAUUUGAUUUUCGUUUGCUGAAUCUUAAAUCACUUUAGUAACAAUUUGAAUAAAUUUGAACAGUAGCAAAGCAAAAUGGAUAUAGUUUGAACAUUUUCACAAAAAAAAAGCUUUUUUUUUCUCAAAAUAACUUUUAAUCAAUUAAUAACUAGCAUGUAGGAUUUGUUGUAAUAUUAGGGACCAAGUUCCUGUGUUGUAAGUUAAGGCUUAUAUGUAGAACAAUGUUGUCCUGUUUUAAUAUGUGUGUAAUUAUAUGCACAUUAUUUAAUAAAAUACUACAUCAUUAAAUUAUGACAUCAUCUCAUGUAUUUAUCAGUUAGACUCAUGUGCUCAUAAUGUUAAGUUUCGUUUUGUAAUUGGUAUGAUUGUAUUUGAUACAUUAGAUGUAUAUUUCUGUUGUCAUGAAUGUUAAAAGAUAAUUGUCUAAAGUUCUUUUUAUUCUGGCAUUGCAAUAUUACUUGCUUUUUGACAUUUGUAAAUCCUUAUGUAGCUAUUAUCACAGGAAAAUAAAAAAUCUUGUUGAGGAAAAUGCUCCAUAAUUUAUGAAAAAAUCGGUAGAGCUUGCAAUUUUUUUUGUGUGAGUUUGAAAUAAGCUACAGAAGGUUUUAAAUAUGAAUAUAUUUAUAUAUUAUUCAUCCAUAUAUCAUAUUACAUCUUUUAAUUGCUGUAUCUCUGAGAAUUUUUUCUUAAAAAGGAUGAAAUUCAUUGAAACUAACACACAGUAUUGUUUCGAGAAGACAAAUUCAAUAUCAUUUAUAAAAAUAUUCAAAUAUAAAAAUCAUUGAAAUUUGCAUUAUGUAAGUUCAAAAUUGUUGAUAUAAAUUUAAAUAUACAUGUAGUUCCAGCUUUAAUAUUGUAAAAUAAGAUUCAUAAAAUAUUCAUAUAGCGUUGUUAUCCUGUAAUGGUUUUAAAAGCAGGGUAAUAAAUUUAUAGUUGCUGACCGCUGACCACUGACCAAUGUCUAUCAUUAUCAAGCAUUAACAGUUUUAGUUUAUUUUAUAGCAUUGUUUAUUACUUUAUAUACAUUUAUACCUCAUAUUCGAAACAUAUUAUAUAACAAGUCACAAAAUAGUUAUCAAUAAAAUUAGUAAAUGGCACAAGAGAAAAAGUCAAGGUUUACUUCUCUGACACACUACAAGCAUGCCAUAAACAUCAUUGUCUAGAAUAAUUAUUGUGAACCAAAUUAUUUUUGCGAGCAAUUUAUAUUUUCAGGAAUUUCCAAAGUAGAAAACUUAGUAUAUUAAGAGGCCAGUUAAUUAUGAGAUAUGUACUUGUAUUGUUCACUCUAGAUAAAUCAUUUUGAAAACAUGAAAGUAUUGUAAUGUCCAGUAGAGUCCUAAUAUAGAUUGGAAUAUUGAUCUGUAGGCUAGAUAUGUAAUAGCUAUCAAUUUUGAAGGAUUUUUUUUGUCAAGAAUCAGUAGGAUUAUUUACUAAGUAGGCAAUUCUAGUUGGAUAUUUCAUAGUAAAAAAACAGAACAGCAUUUCAAAACUAUAGAUUUGCUACAUAGAGUAAUCUAGGUUGUUUCAAAAUACAUACUAGAGUUGAUCAAUUUAAGAAUAACAGAAAGAUUUUAUUGAUAACUAAAUGUGACUGUUUAUUUAUGCUUUUGUAAUAUACUCAUGCACUUAUUGAUAAAGUUUUUUUUCUUCAUGUAUAUAUGUUAAAUGUUAAUUAACAAAGCUUUGAAUAUUAGCAUAUGUAAUAUUAAUGAAAGCUUUAUGAAAUUUUACGUUUAAACUCAUUUUAUAUCAGGACAGUGAUCAUAAGUUGAUAUUCGAUAUUAGCCUUAAUCUUGAUCUUCUGUGCGUUUACUUUUAUGUAGAUAAAUACACUUAUAUAAGAAAUUUCUCACUAAUUAAUAAUCAGAGAUUUAUCUAGUCUUGAGUAUCUUCCAAAUUGUGCCAUAAUUUUUUGCAACAAUGUAAUUUUACAGUAGAGAUUUGUCGUUAUUUGUAUUUUCCUUAUGGUAAUUUUUAUACGGUAGACCAAGUGAAAAUUCAGCACAGCACAGCAAUCCUUCAUACUGAAUUCAAAUUCACACAAUGAUUUUACUUACAGCUCACAUGGUUGUUUUUUUUCCUCUUAACAAAUAAACAGAAAGUUCACAUGAAAAUUUGUUCAUCUAUAAAAAGUUUUAAUGACAAAAAGAAAAUAAAUGUCACCCAUGAAAUUUCAUCGUAAAAAAAUUUCGGCAGUAAUUUGCUGGCCUGAUUAUGUGUUGAAUUUCGGAUGUUUAUUUUUAGACUUUGAUAUUAUUGAAUAAAAAGUAAUUUUCUUUUUAUUAUGACAAUCUGUACUUAGGUUACUCAAAAUUUCAGGGGAGAUAAUUUCCUGAUUUUAUAAUAAUAUGAUAUUGUUAGUAGCAAAAUUUCUUAAACUUAUGUUUGAUUUUGUUAGUUACAAACUCCCUUUAUCACUGAAUUAUCUCCCCUGAAAUACUCUGCUCAAACAUUGAUUAUGCAUAUUUACCUGUAUAGGUCAAUUGAUGUAAACAAUAUUUUAUUGUGAAAAUAUUAACAUAAAAAAAGUGUUAUAAUUUGAGUUUUAUAGGUCAGUUAAUAUAUUACAAGAUUCAACUUUUAAUAACAAAAAUGCAGUAUUAAUCAUUAGUUGCUGUUUCAGCUUGCAAUAUGUUAUAUUGAGGGCCCUCAUGGGGUUUUUGAUUAUGUGAUUACUUGGCCGUUUUUUUAAUGAUUAUUUGAUUAUUAAGCCAAAUAUUUCAUGAUUAUUUGAUUUACCUAGGACUGUAUUUUUAGUUUAUGAUUAUUUGAUUACUAAAGAUAAGCAAAUAUUUAAUGAUUAUGUGAUUAUAUUGGCAAAAAAAUGGUAAUUAUGUGAUUACUAGGACCCCCCCCCCCCAUGAGGGGCCUCUAUAUUAUAAACAAUUUGUUUGCUAUGUGAUGAUCCAAUAUUGGUUGUGACACAUUUUUUUGUAGAUAGCCCCUACCUACCCUUAAAUACAGUAUGUGGCCAUAAUUUAGUGGUCACUGUCAAACCCACAAAUUUUCAUAUAUUUCAUACAAAACCACAUAUUUUUAAGUGCUUUCUCAGAAAUGUUUGUCUGAUUUUGAUGAAAUUUUAACCAAUGUAUACAUAUAUAAAUCUGUAGUGUUGUAUUUAGUAUUUAUUAACUAUCAAGACGAAAUAAGAAAUCAAAACUUAUUUUUUAACAUUCACAUAUAAAUGAGGUAAUAGAAAUUCCAAUAAGAUAAUAAUAAUACAAGGUUGAUAAUAUCAAAUAUUAAAAUAGAACCUUACAAAGAAUUUAAACAAAAUGAUAAAAGUAAUCAAUUUUGGAUUCAUUAAUUUUCAUGGGAAACGACUUUUGUGGUUUGAUAAAAUACUUGAAUAAUAACACCCAAUUAAAAACGCAUUUGUUGAAUACUUGAAUUAGUGGUUUACAUCUAUCCACACACAAAUCCACAAAAAUUAUAUAUCAUAAAUAAUAAUGAAUUCACAGUACAUGCUAAGUCAUUUUAUGAGUAAAUAAAUUCAAUAUUUCGUAAAGUAAUCAUAUAAAUAUUUUUCUUGAACGAGAUAAAGGUAACCACAUGGUUAAAAAAAAACUGUCAUGCUUUUUGAUAAGAAAAUAAUAAAAUGUUUUGUGAUUUAAUUAUAUAAUCUUAAUUUAACAUGCAAGUUAAAAUUUAGAAUAAUUGCUUUAUAGUGCUUUUGAAUAAUUGCUUUAAAUUGUGCUUCUACACAAUUGUUUAUAAUAGUGCUUUUGAAUAAUUACACAAAAUGGUGCUUUUGACUGAUAAAUCUAAUAGAGCUUUUAAUAAUUACAUAAAUAGUUCUUUUGACUGAUAAAAUUAAUUGUGCUUUUGAAUAAUAAUAUAAAUAGUGCUUUUGACUGAAGAAGUAAAUAGUGCUUUUGAGUGGUUAAAUAAAUAGUGCUUUUGACUGAAGAAGUAAACAGUGCUUUUGAGUGGUUAAAUAAAUAGUGCUUUUGACUGAAGAAGUAAACAGUGCUUUUGAGUGGUUAAAUAAAUAGUGCUUUUGAUAGAUUAAAUUAAUAGAGCUUUUGAAUGAUUACAUAAAUAGUGCUUUUGUCUGAUUAUAUUAAUAUUGCUUUUGAAAUGUUCUAUAGUGCUUCAAAUAAAUGUUCAUAAUGGUGUUUCUAAAUAUUUGUGUUUCAAAGUGCUUUUAAACAAUUGCUUUUAAUAGUGCUUUUUAAUAGUAUGUAUAAAGACUUGCUUUUAAUAGAGCUAUUCAAUUAUUAAUUGUGCUAACUUGUAUCUAAAUAAUAGCUAAAAUUUCAUUAAAAAAACAUAGUCUUAAAAAUAUUGUGGUUUUGUAUGAAAUUUAGUGAUAUUCUGGUUUUAUUACCAAAUUAGAGCUUCAUACUGUCCCAUUAUAAUUCAGUUCAAACAUUCCGUGUUUAUGGUAGAAUAAAAGCAGUUUAAACAUUUUUUCCCAAUUUUUUAUUUUUCUUGGAUCCUACACCGCUUACAGCUUAUCAUAAAAAAUCAGAGCUAACAAGUUUUACUUUAAGAGAUUUUACAAAUGCUCAUCUGGAAAUUGUCUUAAUAAAAACUACAGUAUAUUAAAGAAUAUCAUUAGUUUUGUUAUAAAACAGUUGGAAAUGAAAAACUAACUAUGUGAGAAAAAUAAGUCAAUUAUCUCCCUUUGAUAUAACUUCCUGACAAUGGGAGAUAAUUUGAAUUGUCUCCCUUUAUUUAACUUGUUCGAGGGACUUAAUUGACUCAUAUUUCAUUAGGUACUUCAUUUCAUUUUAAACUCUUAGAAGCAUAAAGUGCCCAUUAUAUUUUGUUAGUAUAUCUCAUUUGGUACUAAGAAAAUUUAUAUAUAGAUUAGUGGUGCUUUUGUGCAUACAGUAGCUUUGUAUUGUUUCUAUUUUAUGAAUCACAUUUUUGUAAGUGUUGUGUGUAAUAAAAAAA